AAGAGAGCCUGGAAUGAGAGAGGAGGCUUUUGGUCAAAUAGAAAGUUGAGGAAGAGAAGAGGAAACUGCUAAGCAGAAAGGGAUCUCCGAAGAGAAAGACUGUGUGUCAUGUUGUGAAUGCAACAUGUUCGACAGCAUUCCUGCCGAGGAAAUAUCUUCUAUGAUGGGGAUUUUAAUGGCACAGUAGAGAGAGUGCUGGACCUGGAGUCAAGAAGCCCCGAGUUCAAAUGUGCUUCAGACACUUACUAGCUGUGUGACCCUGGACAAAUCGCUUAACCUCUGUUGGCGACAGGUUCUUCAACUCUAAAACAAGGAUAAUCAUAGUACUUCCCACACAAGGCUGUUGUGACGAUCAGAUGAGAUAAUAUUCUCAAAGUACUUGGUACAGUGUCUGGCAUAUUGUAGAUAUUAAAAAAAUACGAAUUCCUUUCUUCUAUAAGAGUAAACAACCUCCUCUUCAACGUCCAUUUUCUGUUUUCUUGUCACUAUCCAUUUCAACCUUCAUCUUCUCAUGUUCUAUUCUGCCCUCCUCACAAUUCUCCCCCAUGCCUAGUGAAACUCUCAUGUCACAAUUAAAACUAUCA
Molecule: long non-coding RNA, 584 nt
Filed under: Monodelphis domestica (gray short-tailed opossum)
Lineage: Eukaryota; Metazoa; Chordata; Mammalia; Didelphimorphia; Didelphidae
Description: lncRNA (ENSMODG00000034455.2)
Source: RNAcentral